CACGCGCCUGGCGCCGCAGGACACCGGCCUGGCCGCUUCGGUCGGCCAGGCCAAGCUGCCGGUGUUCCGCCGCCUGCGCGUGGC
This 84-nucleotide transfer RNA is filed under the name Rhodocyclaceae bacterium. RNAcentral's name for it is "tRNA-Arg". Lineage: Bacteria; Pseudomonadati; Pseudomonadota; Betaproteobacteria; Rhodocyclales; Rhodocyclaceae. The record is from RNAcentral.